This 426-nucleotide ribosomal RNA is filed under the name uncultured bacterium. RNAcentral's name for it is "bacterial SSU rRNA". It matches the Rfam family "Bacterial small subunit ribosomal RNA", at positions 356 to 773 of the family's 1533-position model. The record is from RNAcentral.
AGGGAAUCUUCGGCAAUGGACGAAAGUCUGACCGAGCAACGCCGCGUGAGUGAAGAAGGUUUUCGGAUCGUAAAACUCUGUUGUUAGAGAAGAACAAGGAUGAGAAGAGAAUGUUCAUCCCUUGACGGUAUCUAACCAGAAAGCCACGGCUAACUACGUGCCAGCAGCCGCGGUAAUACGUAGGUGGCAAGCGUUGUCCGGAUUUAUUGGGCGUAAAGCGAGCGCAGGCGGUUCUUUAAGUCUGAUGUGAAAGCCCCCGGCUUAACCGGGGAGGGUCAUUGGAAACUGGGGAACUUGAGUGCAGAAGAGGAGAGUGGAAUUCCAUGUGUAGCGGUGAAAUGCGUAGAUAUAUGGAGGAACAUCAGUGGCGAAGGCGGCCACCUGGACCGGUAUUGACGCUGAGGUGCGAAAGCGUGGGGAGCAAAC